Molecule: ribosomal RNA, 453 nt
Filed under: uncultured bacterium
Lineage: Bacteria
Description: bacterial SSU rRNA
Rfam family: Bacterial small subunit ribosomal RNA
Source: RNAcentral
AGAGUUUGAUCAUGGCUCAGAACGAACGCUGGCGGCAUGCCUAACACAUGCAAGUCGAACGAUGCUUUCGGGCAUAGUGGCGCACGGGUGCGUAACGCGUGGGAAUCUGCCCCUUGGUUCGGAAUAACAGUUAGAAAUGACUGCUAAUACCGGAUGACGACGUAAGUCCAAAGAUUUAUCGCCGAGGGAUGAGCCCGCGUAGGAUUAGCUAGUUGGUGUGGUAAAGGCGCACCAAGGCGACGAUCCUUAGCUGGUCUGAGAGGAUGAUCAGCCACACUGGGACUGAGACACGGCCCAGACUCCUACGGGAGGCAGCAGUGGGGAAUAUUGGACAAUGGGCGCAAGCCUGAUCCAGCAAUGCCGCGUGAGUGAUGAAGGCCUUAGGGUUGUAAAGCUCUUUUACCCGUGAUGAUAAUGACAGUAGCGGGAGAAUAAGCCCCGGCUAACUCCGUG